RNAcentral lists this ribosomal RNA (310 nucleotides) under uncultured bacterium. RNAcentral's name for it is "bacterial SSU rRNA". It matches the Rfam family "Bacterial small subunit ribosomal RNA", at positions 27 to 334 of the family's 1533-position model. The record is from RNAcentral.
GAUCGAACGCUGGCGGCGUGCUUAACACAUGCAAGUCGAGCGAUGAAGUUUCCUUCGGGAAACGGAUUAGCGGCGGACGGGUGAGUAACACGUGGGUAACCUGCCUCAUAGAGUGGAAUAGCCUUCCGAAAGGAAGAUUAAUACCGCAUAACGUUGAAAGAUGGCAUCAUCAUUCAACCAAAGGAGCAAUCCGCUAUGAGAUGGACCCGCGGCGCAUUAGCUAGUUGGUGGGGUAACGGCCUACCAAGGCGACGAUGCGUAGCCGACCUGAGAGGGUGAUCGGCCACAUUGGGACUGAGACACGGCCCAG